Molecule: ribosomal RNA, 496 nt
Filed under: uncultured bacterium
Lineage: Bacteria
Description: partial 16S ribosomal RNA
Rfam family: Bacterial small subunit ribosomal RNA
Source: RNAcentral
GAUGAACGCUGCGGCGUGCCUAAUACAUGCAAGUCGAGCGAACAGACGAGGAGCUUGCUCCUCUGACGUUAGCGGCGGACGGGUGAGUAACACGUGGAUAACCUACCUAUAAGACUGGGAUAACUUCGGGAAACCGGAGCUAAUACCGGAUAAUAUAUUGAACCGCAUGGUUCAAUAGUGAAAGACGGUUUUGCUGUUACUUAUAGAUGGAUCCGCGCCGCAUUAGCUAGUUGGUAAGGUAACGGCUUACCAAGGCGACGAUGCGUAGCCGACCUGAGAGGGUGAUCGGCCACACUGGAACUGAGACACGGUCCAGACUCCUACGGGAGGCAGCAGUAGGGAAUCUUCCGCAAUGGGCGAAAGCCUGACGGAGCAACGCCGCGUGAGUGAUGAAGGUCUUCGGAUCGUAAAACUCUGUUAUUAGGGAAGAACAAAUGUGUAAGUAACUAUGCACGUCUUGACGGUACCUAAUCAGAAAGCCACGGCUAACUACGUG